AGGUGCUGGAGGGCUGCGGGAGGCGUGAGGAAAAGGGCAUCUAGAAUUUAGCAUCCAAACGCUGUUCGCUCGCCAGCGGCGCGGAUUGGACGAGAAACUUGGGCUCCCUCAGCCUCUGUUUCCCCCUCUGUAGCGCCGCCUACCGUGCAGGCCUUGGCGAGCAAUCUGAGGUGAUGCGGAAAGCGCCCUGGGCGGGCGGGCGCGCGCGUCUAUCCCUGCGCGCGGGGCGCAGAGCCUGCGAGUCGACCCAGCAGAGCGCGGAAAGAGUCCUAGCCGUAGCCUCAGUGCCGGAGAUGGAACCUAGGACCUUGUGCAACUGAGGGGUCACGAUGUAGUUCGGGCUGGCCUUAAACUAUGUAGUCCAGGGCAGCAAGACCCCUUCUUGUCCAUUCGUGUACCUCCUCUCUAUGCGCGCCUGUAAAUCCCAGCACUUGGGAGGCUGAGAGGGGAGGAUCACUGGAGCUCAGGAGUUACUGGAGACCAAACCGGGCAACAUAGUGAGACAUCCGCCCCCAACUAAUCAAGAAACUUUCCCACGGGGGAAAGACUCUCGCUUAGGUAAGACGGCCCCCCACCCUGGACACUCAUCUGGGACUCAAAAGUCUCAGCUUCCUCCAGAAAGUCCCCUCCCCCUUAAUAAGGUCUGCACGGCUGGACAGACCUCACUUUUGGGGAUAAUACCUCAAUCAGGAGAAAAACCCUCCUUCCUGAAACCUGCCUUUAAUCCUGAGGAUGCCCAACCUGGUCAAAUAUCUCAGAGUAGGACCAGCUAGGGGUCCCUUGUUUAAAAAAUGAAAAAUUAGGGGCAGGGGAAGUAGCUCAGUGGCGCCGCGCCUACC
RNAcentral lists this long non-coding RNA (839 nucleotides) under Heterocephalus glaber (naked mole-rat). Its description in RNAcentral is "lncRNA (ENSHGLG00100048681.1)". Lineage: Eukaryota; Metazoa; Chordata; Mammalia; Rodentia; Bathyergidae. The record is from RNAcentral.